UAAGCAUAUCACUAAGCGGAGGAGUAAGAAACUAACCAGGAUUUCCCUAGUAACGGCGAGCGAACCGGAAAGAGCCCAGCUUGAAAAUCGGGGCCCCUCGGGCCCCGAAUUGUAGUCUGGAGACGCAUCCUCUGCAACGCACCGGACCCAAGUUCCCUGGAAAGGGACGUCAGAGAGGGUGACAACCCCGUCGAGUCUGGACCGUGUUGCUCCACGAGGUGUGGUCGUCGAGUCGGGCUGUUUGGGAAUGCAGCCCUAAGUGGGUGGUAAAUUCCAUCCAAGGCUAAAUAUUGGCAAGAGACCGAUAGCGAACAAGUACCGCGAGGGAAAGAUGAAAAGGACUUUGAAAAGAGAGUUAAAAAGUGCUUGAAAUUGCUGGGAGGGAAGCGAAUGGAAGCUGCGGGUGUGCCCCGGUUGGAUGUGGAACGGCUCGCGCUGGUCCGCCGCUCAACGCGGGGCACUGGUCAGCGUGGGCCAUCGCGGCGGGACAAGAGCGGGGUGUAGCUCCCCGCCUAUGCCGUUGCGGUGGCCGAGGAACGAAGCGCGCGGGCUUGCCCCGUGGGGUCUCCCCAACUGCGCGCUCGGGACGCUGGCGUAUUGAGCUCUUCAUCCGACCCGUCUUGAAACACGGACCAAGGAGUCUAACAUGUAUGCGAGCCGGUGGGCGGCAAACCCAUUGAGGCGCAAGGAAACUGACAGGUGGGACCCCAUCAUCUGGGAGCACCAUCGACCGACCGUGAUCUUCUGUGAAGGGUUC
This 757-nucleotide ribosomal RNA is filed under the name Zygodon intermedius. Its description in RNAcentral is "partial 26S ribosomal RNA". It matches the Rfam family "Eukaryotic large subunit ribosomal RNA", at positions 35 to 791 of the family's 3401-position model. Lineage: Eukaryota; Viridiplantae; Streptophyta; Bryopsida; Orthotrichales; Orthotrichaceae. The record is from RNAcentral.